Molecule: ribosomal RNA, 237 nt
Filed under: uncultured Staphylococcus sp.
Lineage: Bacteria; Bacillati; Bacillota; Bacilli; Caryophanales; Staphylococcaceae
Description: partial 16S ribosomal RNA
Rfam family: Bacterial small subunit ribosomal RNA
Source: RNAcentral
CGGGUGAGUAACACGUGGAUAACCUACCUAUAAGACUGGGAUAACUUCGGGAAACCGGAGCUAAUACCGGAUAAUAUUUUGAACCGCAUGGUUCAAAAGUGAAAGACGGUCUUGCUGUCACUUAUAGAUGGAUCCGCGCUGCAUUAGCUAGUUGGUAAGGUAACGGCUUACCAAGGCAACGAUGCAUAGCCGACCUGAGAGGGUUAUCGGCCACACUGGAACUGAGACACGGUCCAG